AAGAAAAUGUGGCUUCCCAUCAAAGCCACGUUUCUCUGAUUUGCCACACGAUGAGCAGUUGAUAGAAACGUGCUCCUUAACAGUAGCUACAUGAUGAAGGACGUGGCCAAGUGUUGGACCACUUCAGGGCAGCGGAACGUGGGUGGUGAACGUCGGUUAUUUGAUAACAUUCUCCCACUUGGUCCACAUUUUUAACCUCAUGUCCUAUCUUAGAUCAUCAUUUUUCC
This 227-nucleotide long non-coding RNA is filed under the name Vitis vinifera (wine grape). RNAcentral's name for it is "long non-coding RNA (VVIN_LNC002180)". The record is from RNAcentral. Lineage: Eukaryota; Viridiplantae; Streptophyta; Magnoliopsida; Vitales; Vitaceae.